Molecule: long non-coding RNA, 396 nt
Filed under: Rattus norvegicus (Norway rat)
Lineage: Eukaryota; Metazoa; Chordata; Mammalia; Rodentia; Muridae
Description: long non-coding RNA NONRATT022215
Source: RNAcentral
GAUUGAGAAUUUUUUUUUUUACCAGCAAAGACUGCAAGAACAGGACCUGGUGACACAGUCCUGUUAUUCCAACUACUCUGGGGGAGGAUUGUAAGUUCCAAGGCCUGUCUGGACAAUUUAGCAAGACUCUAUCUCAAAGACAGCGAAGGGUAGGGAUGCUAAAUAAGGAGGCAGGGAUAGGAGCAGGCUUCAGAGUCCUACUGCAGGAAUCUGAAGUUUCACAUUCCGGAGCAUGCUUCAGCAGUCUGGCCAUGUGUGGGCAUCCGGACGUGUCACUUCAUGCUCUGGCAGGGCCCAGAUGAGGCUGCUGUCCCCCGAGAGGAAAAAAACAAGAAGAAAUCCUCACAGUCAGAACAACAGCUGGUGCAGCUGACCCAACAGCUGGCCCAGACAGAA